GUGAGGAGAAAGGAGUAGGAAGGCACAGAGGAUGUAACUGGCAAAAACAAAUAAGUGAGGUAGACAAAAAGAAUGAAUCUAAUGGCUUCACCUGACUUAGGUGCAGUUUUAAGGGGCCUGACUUAGGCCUGGGGACUUAUGUUUUGAGCUGGGCUCUGUUGGACUUUUUGAUGCGGGAGUGAUGAAUCUAGCAGGAAUGCCGCCUACUUUCAGAGCAGUUGGAGUCGUGAGGAUGACGGUGUGAGGUCUUUUCUAAGCAGGAGUGAGUCUUUCUUUUUGGAACUUUUUAACAAAUGCUAGGUCUCCUGGCUGGAAUGAAUGGCAGGACUUUUUCUGGUCAGGAAUUGGAUUGGGAAGGGCUCCUCAAACAAGUGGCAGGAUAAUAUCUUGUACCUGUUGGAGAGAAUAUAGGUACUGUAAUAAAUUAGUUUGUGAUAUUUCUGCUAAUUUCACAUCUCUUCACUUAGGCAAGAGAGGCAGCGCCUUCUUAUACAUGAUUUCAAAGGGUGAGAACUUAGCGUGGUAAGGGGUGCACCUUACUUUAAGUAGAGCUAAAGGAAGGAGACUUACUUAAUUUACACUGGUUUUUAAGAUUUUGUAAGAGUGUUUUUUAGGGUGUGGUUCAUGCGUUGUACUUGCCUGGAGCUCUGAGGUUGAUAGGCACGAUGGAGCUUCUAUUGAAUGUUUAAGGCCUUACUGACUGACUGAGCUAUAGGCGACGUGAAGGCUGUUCUAUUAUCAGACUUUAUGGCAGCAGGCAGCCUAUACUGAACGAUGAUUUCAUUGUGUAAAAACUUAACUACUGUGUUGGUGGUUUCGUUUUCGGUAGCAAAUGCCUUAGUCUAUCUGGAGAAGGUGUCUACUAGUACUAGAAGGCAUUUGUACUUAGCCUGGUGUGGUUUGACUUCUGUAAAGUCAAUUUCUUACUUUUUUCUUGGCGAGGUUUUUCAGAGACAGUGGCCUGGGCUGGGUUUAGGACUUUGUUUGGCAUUUACUUGGGCGCAGGUUGUGAACUGGAGAGCUGCUUAAUCUGUUAGGCUUUGAAGACGGGGGAUCUUAAAAUGGCUCCGCAGGAGCUGAGGUAGCUUUGCUCUUUUUAAGUGGGUGGUAGACUGUAGGUGACGGACUAAAUUUUCUUUAAGGGUUCAGGAUAUGAAGCGUCUAGAGUCAGGAAGAAUCUACUAACUUUCCUGAUUUUUAUUGACUCUGAGAUCUGAAGCCAGUUUUUUGUUGUUGUUGUUGAGUGUACGGGAUUGUCAGGCAGAUCUGGCUGUGGAAAGGAGACUGUGGGCAGCAAGUUUAGAGGCGUGACUGAAAGUCUCGCUGCGACCUGAGCUGCUGAAUCAGGUUUCUGGUUACUAUGGGCAACGGCCGUGUUUUCUUUUUGAUGUCCUUUGCAGUGGAUCACAGCUACCUGCUGAGGUGAGGAUUCAGGAGAUAAUUCUGCAAACAGAACUUCCUGAGAACUGAGAUGGGGGAAAUCGCUGGUAUUAGAAGAGUGAAAAGAAACUCCUGGAGGGCAGAGGCAUGCCUGCCAUCUUCAUCAAUGCAUUACCACCACCCAACACUAUCGGGGGACCUGCCCUGAUAAUCAGAUUACUCACCACUCGUCGGGGAGUUGAACACGCUUAUCUGUGGACCAAGCCGAUUGACGUUUCACCGCACCUACCAAAGGGAAUCCGGUUCCCUCAUGCACUUAGGAAAAAAGAAAGACCACGUGGGCGCCAGAUAUCGGGAGACCUGCCCCGAUAAUCACUCUACAGGUGAAUCCAGCAGCUCCAGAGAGACAGCGACCAGCGAGAAGGGGCCAUGAUGAUGGUGGUGGUUUUGUCAAAACGAAAAGGGGGAUAUGUAGGGAAAAGAAAGAGAGAUCAGACUGUUACUGUGUCUACAUAGAAAGGGAAGACAUAAGAGACUCCAUUUUGAAAAAGACCUGUACUUUCAACCAUUGCUUUGCUGAGAUGUUGUUAAUCUGUAGCUUUGCCCCAGCCACUUUGCCCCAACCACUUUGACCCAAUCUGGAGCUCAUUAAAACAUGUGUUGUAUGAAAUCAAGGUUUAAGACAUGUAGGGCUGUGCAGGACGUGCCUUGUUAACCAAAUGUUUGCAAGCAGUAUACUUGGUAAAAGUCAUCACCAUUCUCUUGUCUCAAUAAACCAGGGACACAAUGCACUGUGGAAAGCCGCAGGGACCUCUGCCGUUGAAAGCUGGGUGUUGUUCAAAGUUUCUCCCCAUGUGAGAGUCUGAAAUAUGGCCUCGUGGGAUGAGAAAGACCUGACGGUCCCCAAGCCCGACACCUGUAAAAGGUCUGUGCUGAGGUGGAUUAGCCAAAGAAGAAAGCCUCUUGCAGUUGAGAGAGAGGAAGGCCGCUGUCUCCUGCCUGCCCCUGGGAACUGAAUGUCGCGGUAUAAAACACGAUUGUACAUUUGUUCAAUUCUGAGAUGGGAGAAAAACCGCCCUAUGGUGGGAGGCGAGACAUGUUUACAGCAAUGCUGCCUUGUUAUUCUUUACUCCACUGAGAUGUUUGGGUGGAGAGAAACAUAAAUCUGGCUUACGUACACGUCCAGUCAUAGUACCUUCCCUUGAACUUCAUUAUGACAUAGAUUCUAUUGCUCACAUGUUUGUUGCUGACCUUCUCCUUAUUAUCACCCUGCCCUCCUACUACAUUCCUUUUUGCUGAAAUAAUGAAGAUAAUAAUAAAAACUGAGGGAACUCAGAGACCCGUGCCAGUGCAGGUCCUUGGUAUGCUAAGCGCCGGUACCCUGGGCCCACUGCUGUUUCUCUAUACUUUGUCUCUGUGUCUGAUUUCUUUUCUGUCUCUCAUCCCACCUGACAAGAAAUACCCACAGGUGUGGAGGGGCAGGCCACCCCUUCAGUAUGAGAUUACAGGCAUGAAUAACCCCACCUGGCCACCUAACUCACUCUUGAGAGGCCAGAAGUGAUGCUGGAACUUUCUUCCUCUGUGGGUUAAAAAGGGAAAAUUAGGGACAACACAAGGCAGGAGAGAUGCAGCGAUGGAUAUGUCUAUAUGGAGCUUCUGUCUGCAUCCAGUAGAAAAUGCAUUUCUAGGCACCAGGUUUAAGAGCGAAAACCUGGAGUCUUGUCUGUUAGCAUUCUCCUUCCCCACAAACCAGAGAGGGAAUACAUUUGCUCCAGCACACCCGUAUGUAGGAAAUGUCACAUUCCUAUUUCUGUAACUUCAGUUAAAUCUGCUGUGAGUCCCUGGAUGCCUGGCAGGUGGAGAAUUCAAUCUUGUCGUUACCAGCAUUCCUUUCCCUUCUCCAUGGGCUUAUGUAAGAAUUCUGGGCUUACACACUGUUGGAAAGCCAGGAAGGAACUACAUCCCCCGAACUCUCCAUUCUUCCAGCUGCUCAUGAUCCAUCAACGGUCUUUGGGCCAUCUGCUAUAGCAAGACCCUCCUCACAGUGGAUAUCAGGGGCUGGGGUGGAAACGUAGGGGAUAGGAGACACUGGUCAAAGGGUACAAAGUUUCCAGUAGGAAGAAUAAGUUUUGAACAAGCUAAACUCCUCUGAAAGCUCAGUUCCUUAUCUGUAGAGCAGGGACACAUCAUUAACCUUCUAAGGAUGUUGCUGUGAGAGUAAAAGAUGAGGUUCAGCACAAUACCUAAAGCACAGUCAGGUCUCCUUAAGCUUGAACCUGCAUCGCCAUGAGCUCUACAUCUCAGGACAGAAAGGCUCACAGCCAGUUUCUCAGUUCCCAGUGAGAAGUGGAUCCCAGACCAGGCUGAACCGCAGGAUCCCCAGGGGAUACCCAGCCCUACUGAGUCAGAAUCACUGGAGGUAGAGCCUGG
This 3810-nucleotide long non-coding RNA is filed under the name Homo sapiens (human). Its description in RNAcentral is "HSALNT0068350". The record is from RNAcentral. Lineage: Eukaryota; Metazoa; Chordata; Mammalia; Primates; Hominidae.